CCCUGACUCAGCACUUAUCUUUUGGAUUUUGUCUUUAUCCUCAGUGUGACCUGAGCCACCAGCCUCCCUGAGCAGGAAGAUGACGAGAGGGAGGGGAGAACAAGGAUGCCUUAAGUAGUUCAGGUGUCACCCAGAGAGAGAGAGUCCAGGUGACAUUGUUCCCUCUGUCUGCCCUCAGGGUCUGCUGGGCCCCAGCUCCCUGUGGGCACCAGAUACAUCUACAACUUCUGCACCAACUCCAGCACCGGCCUGCAGGGGGCGCUGCAGGAGGGGAGUGGCCUUGGCCUCCAAGGCUUGGCCAUCCUUGACGUGCUUGGCCCAUGCCAGGUGGUCUUACGGCUGCAAGACUUCCAGGUGACAUCAAUGCUGGAGUCCCAGGUGGAGGUUCAGAAAGAGUCGC
Molecule: long non-coding RNA, 400 nt
Filed under: Cavia porcellus (domestic guinea pig)
Lineage: Eukaryota; Metazoa; Chordata; Mammalia; Rodentia; Caviidae
Description: lncRNA (ENSCPOG00000033251.1)
Source: RNAcentral